RNAcentral lists this ribosomal RNA (400 nucleotides) under uncultured bacterium. RNAcentral's name for it is "bacterial SSU rRNA". It matches the Rfam family "Bacterial small subunit ribosomal RNA", at positions 29 to 456 of the family's 1533-position model. The record is from RNAcentral.
AACGAACGCUGGCGGCAUGCCUAACACAUGCAAGUCGAACGAGACCUUCGGGUCUAGUGGCGCACGGGUGCGUAACGCGUGGGAAUCUGCCCUUAGGUACGGAAUAACUCAGGGAAACUUGAGCUAAUACCGUAUAAUGACUUCGGUCCAAAGAUUUAUCGCCUAAGGAUGAGCCCGCGUCGGAUUAGCUAGUUGGUGAGGUAAAAGCUCACCAAGGCGACGAUCCGUAGCNGGUCUGAGAGGAUGAUCAGCCACACUGGGACUGAGACACGGCCCAGACUCCUACGGGAGGCAGCAGUGGGGAAUAUUGGACAAUGGGCGAAAGCCUGAUCCAGCAAUGCCGCGUGAGUGAUGAAGGCCUUAGGGUUGUAAAGCUCUUUUACCCGGGAUGAUAAUGACA